UUCCGGUUGAUCCUGCCGGACCUGACUGCUAUCGGAUUGAUACUAAGCCAUGCGAGUCAUUGUAGUAGUACAAGGCAGACGGCUCAGUAACGCGUAGUCAACCUAACCUAUGGACGGGAAUAACCUCGGGAAACUGAGUAUAAUGCCCGAUAGAACAUUAUGCCUGGAAUGGUUUAUGUUCCAAAUGAUUUAUCGCCGUAGGAUGGGACUGCGGCCUAUCAGUUUGUUGGUGAGGUAAUGGCCCACCAAGACUAUUACAGGUACGGGCUCUGAGAGGAGUAGCCCGGAGAUGGGUACUGAGACACGGACCCAGGCCCUAUGGGGCGCAGCAGGCGAGAAAACUUUGCAAUGUGCGAAAGCACGACAAGGUUAAUCCGAGUGGUUUCUGCUAAAGGAACCUUUUGUCGGUCCUAGAAACACCGAUGAAUAAGGGGUGGGCAAGUUCUGGUGUCAGCCGCCGCGGUAAAACCAGCACCUCAAGUGGUCAGGAUGAUUAUUGGGCCUAAAGCAUCCGUAGCCGGCUUUGUUAGUUUUCGGUUAAAUCUGUACGCUUAACGUACAGGCUGCCGGGAAUACUGCAGAGCUAGGGAGUGGGAGAGGUAGACGGUACUCGGUAGGAAGGGGUAAAAUCCUUUGAUCUAUUGAUGACCACCUGUGGCGAAGGCGGUCUACCAGAACACGUCCGACGGUGAGGGAUGAAAGCUGGGGGAGCAAACCGGAUUAGAUACCCGGGUAGUCCCAGCUGUAAACUAUGCAAACUCAGUGAUGCAUUGGCUUGUGGCCAAUGCAGUGCUGCAGGGAAGCCGUUAAGUUUGCCGCCUGGGAAGUACGUACGCAAGUAUGAAACUUAAAGGAAUUGGCGGGGGAGCACCACAAGGGGUGAAGCCUGCGGUUC
Molecule: ribosomal RNA, 895 nt
Filed under: uncultured marine group I thaumarchaeote
Lineage: Archaea; Thermoproteati; Nitrososphaerota
Description: bacterial SSU rRNA
Rfam family: Archaeal small subunit ribosomal RNA
Source: RNAcentral